This is a non-coding RNA of Misgurnus anguillicaudatus (oriental weatherfish), 2269 nucleotides long. NCBI's taxonomy places the organism in Eukaryota, Metazoa, Chordata, Actinopteri, Cypriniformes, Cobitidae. The record is from RefSeq and is a predicted model, not a curated record.
UUGAUUUAAUUAGUUUGUCUGCAUCGCGCUGAUCGGUUGCCUAUUUGUUCAUAUUAUGUUAUUUACUAUGAUUCGUUUUUGUCUUUAUACUAGAACUGUUUGAAUUUAAAGCACAAACAGUAAAACAUUAAGGGUAUACAUGGUACACAGCGGUAAACAUGAGGUUAAAAAUACGCGAAGUAACAUUCAAACCGGGCUGUUAAAAGAAUCAAUUCGAUGUUUAAGUUUUUAAAACAAAACUUUAAAGAAGCCAAGAUGAGAAGUUCUUUGCUUAAAACAAACAAAGCAACAGUAACUUGUGUGUUGGAAAUGUUAGCAGCUAGCAAGUGUCUCUCUGCUAUUUUAAAUGAUAAACAGACGAUCUUUUGUUGUUUAAAAGCUCAUUGCUUUAGUUCUGGUAGAUGCGGCUUAUUUUUCAAGACGGUUUUAAUAGCUUUAUAUUGAUUUGUAACAAAGCCAGCUUCACUUUGAGAGAACCUAGAUGCUAAUUGUAAAGAAGCUUGGAGUCAUAAUAUAUUUUAACGUAAUAUGUUUGCUGUUCUUCAUCUCUUUAAAUAUGAAGUCUAUCCAUGUUUGUGUUUACAGAGGUCAUGUACACUGUGGUCAACUUGUGGACGCUGAAGAGGUUUCUGGGUAAAGAUGAUAGAAAUAAUGAAGUAACAGUGGAAGCUAAAACAUCAGAUCCAGACACUGAAGAAAUUGAUGUCACUGCAAUCUGGCCAAAAUGAUAGAAAUAUAAUGAAGUAACAGUGGAAGCUAAAACAUCAAACUGAUCCAGACACUGAAGAAAUUGAUGUCACUGCAAUCUGGCCAAAAUGAUACAACUAUAUUGAAGUAGCCUACUGUAAUGAAGCUGCAGAACGUCACAGAGACUCUGAGGACAUCAACACAGAAUAUCAAGGCUCCCAAGAGAUGUCUGUCCAGAUGAGGGUGCAUCAACGUUACCUUUGCUGACAAGUAUAUGCUUUACAAUGUAAAACCUAACAGUUAACUUAACUCAAACCAUUUAAGGAAAUUGGUUGCCUUAAAUCAUUAAGUUUUAAAAAAACAUACAUUUGAGUACUGUGAACUUAAGUCUUGUGCAAUUAUGCACUUAUAUUUAGGUAGUGUGAACUUAAAUAUAAGUGCUUAACUGCAUGUGACUCAAUUUGUUUAAGUUCACAGUACUCAAAUCUAUGUGUUUUAAAACUUGAAUGGUUUAAUGCAACCGGUUUUCUUAAAUGUGAGAAAUUACAGUGUUACAGUGAGAAAUGUUUGAAUAAUUCCAAGACAGAGCUCUGUGAUUGAUUCUACACUGCAAAAAUCACUUUCUAACACUUUUUAUUUUGUUUUCAGUAGAAAAACUAAAAAUUCUUAAAUCAAGAUGUAUUUUCUUGAUGAGCAAAAUUACCUUAGAAAAUAUGUCUAGUUUUUAGACAAAAAUAUACAAUUUAAGAUAAUUUGUGCCUAAACAAGAAAAAAUAUCUAACAAUGGGGUGAGAAAAUUGUGUUUUAAUUAAGUUUUUAAGAAAAAAGAAAACUUAAGAUUUUUUUCUCACACUAUUGGCAGAUAUUUUUGCUUGUUUUAAGCACAAAUUCACUUAAUACACAGACACACACACAUUAUUUAUUUGGUCUAAAACUAGACUUAUUUUCUUGGGUCAUUUUGUUCCUCAAGAAAAAGCAUUUUAAUUUAAAUAAUAUUUCUACAGAAAACAAGACAAAAAUACUAUGUAAGAAAGUCAUUUUUUGCAGUGUAGGACUAAUUUCUUUAGAUUAUUUAGAUAUUUACUACAUUACAGUGGCAGCUGGUGACUUCUUUUUUUUGUGAGCACUCAAUGCGAAGUUUGUCACAACAUGUAUAUAGCCCGUCAUUUGUGUGGUUCCCAAUUUCAAAAUAUGUGUUCUGUGUGUCGAGUGCGUGUAUGUGCAUCACGUGUUUUGACUAAACACGUGAUGCACGUGGUUUACAUGAAGCAACAAACACAUAUUUUAAAAACACAAGCAACACGCAUGACACUCUGAACACUUAUUUUGAAUUUGCAACCCUCGGAUGAGCAGUCACGAGCAGCCACUGCUACAUUACAUUGUACUGCUUUGAAUGUAGUUUUCAUUGUUGCUUUUAUUUUGUUUUAUUUUACUCUAAUAUUGCUUUCUCUGUCUGUAUAUUUAUGAGUUUAAAUGGUAUUGUUUAUGUAUGCAACUUUUAAUAUUUGUGUAUUAUAUUAUUUUGUGAUUGUGACAAUUGUGGAUUGUUCAGUUUUUUAUUAAAUAAACAUUUCAAACUCAA